AACUCUCUCUCCUCCUACUCUAUGGCUGGGUCAUGGUGGGACGUAGCCCAGCCCCCCGUGAAGUGACCCAGCCUCAGUUUACCCUGCCCCAGCUGUCAAACAUCAGCCCCUCCCAACAUCCACGGAAAUUUCUGGCUCCAUCCUCCACACCCUUCCCUAUUAAAGGGAUACUGCCCCAGCCUCCCUGCUGCGCAGGGGAAAGGCAAGCUGGAGAUGGGGGUGCGGGGGGUCAAUCACUUUCUAGUGCACAGAUCACUGGCCGAGCCUUGGGUGACCAGGCUUCCCUUCCUGCCUCCGCCCUGUGGGGUGAGUCACCUCUCCUGCCUCAGUUUCCCCAUCUGUAAACUAGAGAUAAUGAUCCUGACCCUCCUUUGUGAUGCGCUCUGAGAUCUACAGAUGUAAAAGUGCUAGCUAAGAUUAUUAGUCAGCAGGCACUCCGCUGUGACAGCUGGAGCCCUUCCUCUCCCUUCCCCCCUCCCGGCCACGGGGUGUUCAAUGGGGAGCGAGUGACCACGCCAGGGCUGUCCCCUGUUGGCACCUGGGGGGUAAUUUGACUAUAAAAGUGGCGGCCUGGCUAACAUCCGUCCCCCAUGGUCCUUGGCGAACACACCUAUUGCUCCCCUGCCUUCGGGACCCAGCCUGUUUCUCAAUUCUCAGUGAUGAGGUCGUGUGACGCGCGCCUUCCGGCCAAAGUGUUUCCGCUUUUCUCUGGCUUCUUGGCACGUUUGCUGUGAGCACAACGGAACGUGAAAGGGAAAUUGUCCCAGCUGGGUGGUGUCUGAAUCCUUCGUCCACUGCGUGCUGGAGGAAACGAAGAGGCAGGGGAGUUUUGCUGCCUCUGCCCCCCAAGGGUUUGAAUCGCCCGCUCAUCAGGCCCUUAUCUGCCCAAUGGAUCUAUGUCACAUUUUCUGAGUCUGUCGUAUUUUCGAGAAGUUUUCUGACCUUUCACAGCUGACAUCUAUGGCUGUCUGCCAGGCAGUCACCGGCCGCCAGUGCUUUCACGGACAUGACGUAGCGCUAUUUCUGAAAUGCCUAGAACAGAGCCCUAAAGAAAUGAGAGGAAAAAACUCCGAGACGGGAAGUGAUGCAAGACACUGGGCUAGUUCUGAAUUAUCCAGAGGGGUUUCUUUUCUGAUCUCCUCCGCUUCUCGUGCCAUCUCCAAUGCUUCACAAAAAGAGCAGGAGCCACCACCACCUACAUUUCUCUAGGCACAAGCAUUGGAUGAGAAUAACGUGGGAUAUUGCAGGAGGGGCAGGCGCUGGGCGAAGCAGGAAUUUGCCAGGCACACGGCUCGUGCAUUUCACCGUGCCUUAGAUCAUCACCGGAGAACCAGCGUUAGGGACAUCAGGUGAAGCCCAGCUCAGCGUCAUUGUGGCUGGAGAACCCGAAUCCCUCUGGAAUGUGUCCCAUGAGCUGAGGCAACACACCGCCAGGACCCAAGAGGUCUGGAAAGGCCGGGUGUGAGACCACAAUGUCCCACACCAACGGGAAACCCCACACCAGGUUCAAGAGCUCACUGGGGACAUGGAUCUGGCCAGGUUAUGUUCCCAUCCCCAGCUGCUUAGCAUGGAGACCCUGCAGAGUGUGCGGGAUACUCUGGAGAGUCAGGGAAUGCUAGACGAGGACCUGAGAGCCGGCUUUAAGCGGGCCCUGGAGGAGUUCCCCUGGGAGCCCCCAUGUGUGCAGAACAACGCCCGAUGGUCAUCCAGAGCGACGAGACUGAGCUGACAUUCCUCUCUGGAAGGCAAACAUAAGAUCAGGAUCUCUGACAACGGCGCCUGCUAUGAGGUGAAAGAGCCAAAGGCCCAGGUAUACCUGGCCAGGUUACGCUCCCGUCCACAGAAGCUGAGCACCAAGUCCCUGCGGGAUGUGCGGGAUGCGCUGGAGAAGUGGGAGUUGCUGGACGAGGACCUGAGAGCCUGCUUUGAGUGGGUCUUGGAGGAAUUCCCCCGGGAGCCCCGGUGUGGUGCAGCGCAAUGCCCGGAUGGUGAUUAGACAUGACCACACCGAGCUGGUGUUUGUUGUCGGGCCAGGGGGAAUGUGGAGAUCACUGUGUCCGAAGGCGACAGGGAGCCCUGCUACGAGGUGAAGGAGCCCACAGUGGCGGUGUUUCGGGAGAGGUUACGCACUUGCCCACAAAGGCUGAGUGUGGAAAACCUGGAGAGAAUUCGGGGAAGGCUGGAGUCCUGGGAGGUGAUGACCAAGGAGCUGAGACGCUGCUUCGAUCUGGUGCUGAGGGAAAUCCGCAAGGAGCCUGAGUGUGUCCAGAACAACCCCAGGAUGUGCAUCACCUGGGAGGAGAUGAAGCUGCGGCUGAUCUCCGUAGAUGGGGACUGCGAGGUCUCCGUGACCUGCUGUGAUGGGAAACCCAGCUACGAGGUGAAGGUCAAGAGCUGGGCAAUGUAUCGGGAGAAGAAUGGCGUCUCUCUGCAGAGCCACACGCAUUGAGAACCUGGAGGGUGUGCGGAGGGAGGUGAUGGGUCUGUCGGGGACUCCCGAGAAGGUCAAGGAGGCCUUGAACGUGCCGUUAGGGAUUUCUCUGCUGAGCCGGGUUGCCUGCAGGAGAAUGCCCGCUGGUCAUUGAGUGCGAUGGGGGGCGAGAUGAUCUUUGUCUCUGGGAAAGGGAGAAAUAAAGUGAACGUUGCACCAUCGACGGGAAGGUCAGUUACAGCGUCAGAGCCACCGGGUGGUGACUGUCAUUAAGAUGUGGCAGAAACUACUCUGCGAGCUCUCUGAAACUUUGCUGAAGUUUAUCCCCCAAGUCUUAGUCCAAAUCCUAUCAAAGCUGAUAGUAGGUAGUGAGGUGCCUGGCCUAUACCCCCUCCCCUGCCAGAGCCAGGGAGAACCCAGGAGCCCUGCUUCCAGCCUCCCCUCCCCAUUCUAACCCACUAGAACCCUACUCCCUGCCCAUUGCCUGGGAGAGAACCCAGGAGUCCUGGCUUCCAGCCCCCCCUGCUCUAACCCACCAGACCCCACUCCCCUCCUAGAGCUGGGGAGAGAACCCAGGAGUCCUGGCUCCCAGAUUCCUUGUGACCAGGGGAGAGGGAUCCUGGGACAGUGCACACCAAACAUACAUAGCAUAUAGUGUAUAGAAACACAGCUAAAUUGAAGCUGGAAUUUGAAUUCCUACAGGAAUAGAUUAACUAUUAUAAGGCCAGAAUGAACCACCAUUAUCAUCUACUCCGAUCUUCUGUCUAAUAUCAGCCCUAGGACAUCCCUGAAUUAAUUCCUCUUUGGACUAGGGCAAGAUCUCUUAGAUCAACUUCCCAUCCCUGAUUUUAAAAUGGCCAAUAAUGGAGGUGGCUAGAAACUGGAAUAUAUAAAUGAAUUUCCUUUGCCAUAGCUAAGUGUAUCCCUGCACCUUUAAACUGCUGUCGGUCAGCUAAGUCAGGAAGCUCUUAGGAAAUCCACCUAUUGUAUGUUUCUUUCUCUAGCCUUAUAAGGCCCUAAAAAAAAUCACCAAAGAUCAGCCGUCUGUGAGCUUGUCAACAUGGGGAAAUCGACCAACGUAGUUGUAGGGGAAUACUCAGGUCAGUCUAGCGAUGCCAGCAUGAUUCCUCAUGUGGCCACUCUGUACCGCUUGACUGUGGUAUAAAGCAGAGAAUUAUAUAGCUGUAUAAUUCUCUGUUUAAUUUCCCCACAUAGACAAGCUGUUUGACCCUAAAUCUAAGUGCCUAUAUGCCUGUGGAGAUUGAUUAAUUUCUAGCCCACAGGGCUGGCUUUGUCUUUAUUGUUUUCAGCUGUAAUAUAAGGAACCUACAGGUGUGUACCCUGUAAGACAUUAGCUUAAGCAAUUUAGCAUAAGUAUAGUUAAGUAGGGUAGACCUGCGACCUUUGGCAUUGAGAUGGCCUAGCGGUUCCCUCUCAAUUUUGGGAACUAGAUAAUGAAUUGGUGACACUGGGCCAGAAAGGGUUAAGAGACUAGCAGGCUAAAUGACCCAAAUUCUACCUUGAAAGACAUAUUAGAAAAGUAUAUAAAUGAUAAUUAGGGCUAUUCAUUAUAAAUAGCUAACAAACCCAGGUUAGAUAGGCGAGAGCUUUGAAAUGUAGACUUGUACAGGUAGAGAACUGGAAGACUGUGUAUUGAUCUGUGUUUCUCUGUAUCUUGUUAGAGGUUAAUGAUGUAACCAGACUGUUCCUGUCUGUUACUAUAUUCUACUGAUUCAGGGAUCAAAGGGGAUAUUAACGUUUAGAUGGAACUUGGGUGCAAUAACAUUAUUGUCUCUAUUUCUCUUGAAGUCUGUAGUAAAACUAUGAAUGGCUUAAUGGAGAAUUACUUUACACUGAUGAAUGCAAUCACCUUGUAUACAUAGCAAUAGGAGUUUACUGCAAAGCCGCAAUGUAUAUUACUUAUUUUUCACCCAAGGAAUAGCUGCAGUCAAGAGGCUGCCAGAGAUCUGCAAAAGAACUCUCGGGCCCCCGUCCUUUAUCUCAGAUCUGCUUAAACUUGGUCAGGGAGAGCUGGAGUCGCAAGACUGAGGUGUCCAGCUCCAGUCUGGAUCACCCUGCUGGUUCUCGUGGAAGAAUUUGACCAAACUCUGUAUAUGGCCUGCUUAUUUGGACUAUAACCCGAUGAGCUGAUUCUGGGAAGAACCUUUUUGCAACUCAUCAGCCAAAAUUUCUACUAUGAACCUGCCCUAAGAAUGCACCAUUAUAUCAUACAGUCAUAUCUAUAUGUAUAAUGACCUUUUAACCACAAUAUGUUCUCUUUUCUGUUUUAAUAAACUUUAGUUUGGUUA
Long non-coding RNA from Dermochelys coriacea (leatherback sea turtle), 4740 nucleotides. RefSeq lists it as uncharacterized. Lineage: Eukaryota; Metazoa; Chordata; Testudines; Dermochelyidae. The transcript is spliced from 3 exons. The record is from RefSeq and is a predicted model, not a curated record.